RNAcentral lists this ribosomal RNA (477 nucleotides) under uncultured organism. RNAcentral's name for it is "partial 16S ribosomal RNA". It matches the Rfam family "Bacterial small subunit ribosomal RNA", at positions 332 to 800 of the family's 1533-position model. The record is from RNAcentral.
UACACUCCUACGGGAGGCAGCAGUGGGGAAUUUUGGACAAUGGGCGAAAGCCUGAUCCAGCAAUGCCGCGUGAGUGAAGAAGGCCUUCGGGUUGUAAAGCUCUUUUGUCAGGGAAGAAACGGUGAAAGCUAAUAUCUUUUGCUAAUGACGGUACCUGAAGAAUAAGCACCGGCUAACUACGUGCCAGCAGCCGCGGUAAUACGUAGGGUGCAAGCGUUAAUCGGAAUUACUGGGCGUAAAGCGUGCGCAGGCGGUUUUGUAAGUCUGAUGUGAAAUCCCCGGGCUCAACCUGGGAAUUGCAUUGGAGACUGCAAGGCUAGAAUCUGGCAGAGGGGGGUAGAAUUCCACGUGUAGCAGUGAAAUGCGUAGAUAUGUGGAGGAACACCGAUGGCGAAGGCAGCCCCCUGGGUCAAGAUUGACGCUCAUGCACGAAAGCGUGGGGAGCAAACAGGAUUAGAUACCCCGGUAGUCCCAUGA